RNAcentral lists this ribosomal RNA (472 nucleotides) under uncultured organism. RNAcentral's name for it is "partial 16S ribosomal RNA". It matches the Rfam family "Bacterial small subunit ribosomal RNA", at positions 334 to 797 of the family's 1533-position model. The record is from RNAcentral.
CACUCCUGCGGGAGGCAGCAGUGGGGAAUUUUGGACAAUGGGCGAAAGCCUGAUCCAGCAAUGCCGCGUGUGUGAAGAAGGCCUUCGGGUUGUAAAGCACUUUUGUCCGGAAAGAAAUCCUUGGCUCUAAUACAGUCGGGGGAUGACGGUACCGGAAGAAUAAGCACCGGCUAACUACGUGCCAGCAGCCGCGGUAAUACGUAGGGUGCGAGCGUUAAUCGGAAUUACUGGGCGUAAAGCGUGCGCAGGCGGUUUGCUAAGACCGAUGUGAAAUCCCCGGGCUCAACCUGGGAACUGCAUUGGUGACUGGCAGGCUAGAGUAUGGCAGAGGGGUGUAGAAUUCCACGUGUAGCAGUGAAAUGCGUAGAGAUGUGGAGGAAUACCGAUGGCGAAGGCAGCCCCCUGGGCCAAUACUGACGCUCAUGCACGAAAGCGUGGGGAGCAAACAGGAUUAGAUACCCCAGUAGUCCCA